Molecule: ribosomal RNA, 194 nt
Filed under: Pseudomonas cedrina subsp. cedrina
Lineage: Bacteria; Pseudomonadati; Pseudomonadota; Gammaproteobacteria; Pseudomonadales; Pseudomonadaceae
Description: partial 16S ribosomal RNA
Rfam family: Bacterial small subunit ribosomal RNA
Source: RNAcentral
GAUCAGCAUGCCGCGGUGAAUACGUUCCCGGGUCUUGUACACACCGCCCGUCACACCACGAGAGUUGGUAACACCCGAAGUCGGUGAGGUAACCUUUUGGAGCCAGCCGCCGAAGGUGGGACCAAUGAUUGGGGUGAAGUCGUAACAAGGUAGCCGUAUCGGAAGGUGCGGCUGGAUCACCUCCUUUCUAAGGA